Molecule: ribosomal RNA, 405 nt
Filed under: uncultured bacterium
Lineage: Bacteria
Description: bacterial SSU rRNA
Rfam family: Bacterial small subunit ribosomal RNA
Source: RNAcentral
AACGAACGCUGGCGGCGUGCCUAACACAUGCAAGUCGUGCGAGAAAGUUCCUUCGGGAGCGAGUAAAGCGGCGCACGGGUGAGUAACACGUAGGUAACCUGCCCCCCAGUCUGGAACAACUAGAGGAAACUCUAGCUAAUGCCGGAUGAGACCACGAUCCCUUCGGGGGUUGCGGCCGAAGAUGGCCUCUACUUGUAAGCUAUCGCUGAGGGAUGGGCCUGCGGGCCAUUAGCUUGUUGGUGAGGUAACGGCUCACCAAGGCUGUGAUGGCUAGCUGGUCUGAGAGGAUGACCAGCCACACUGGGACUGAGACACGGCCCAGACUCCUACGGGAGGCAGCAGUGGGGAAUAUUGCGCAAUGGGCGAAAGCCUGACGCAGCGACGCCGCGUGGGUGAUGAAGGCCU